This 428-nucleotide ribosomal RNA is filed under the name uncultured bacterium. RNAcentral's name for it is "bacterial SSU rRNA". It matches the Rfam family "Bacterial small subunit ribosomal RNA", at positions 355 to 774 of the family's 1533-position model. The record is from RNAcentral.
UGGGGAAUAUUGCGCAAUGGGCGAAAGCCUGACGCAGCGACGCCGCGUGGGUGAUGAAGGCCUUCGGGUUGUAAAGCCCUGUCGGGAGGGACGAAACCUCGGUGACCUAAUACGUCACCGACCUGACGGUACCUCUUAAGGAAGCACCGGCUAACUCCGUGCCAGCAGCCGCGGUAAUCCGGAGGGUGCGAGCGUUGUUCGGAAUUACUGGGCGUCAAGCGCGUGCAGGCGGUCUCUUAAGUCUGGUGUGAAAGCCCGGGGCUCACCCCCGGAAGGGCACGGGAGACUGGGAGGCUAGAGUACCGGAGAGGAAGGUGGAAUUCCUGGUGUAGCGGUGAAAUGCGUAGAUAUCAGGAGGAACACCGGUGGCGAAGGCGGCCUUCUGGACGGCUACUGACGCUGAGACGCGAAAGCGUGGGGAGCAAACA